UACAGAGGGGGCAAGCGUUGUUCGGAAUUACUGGGCGUAAAGGGUGCGUAGGCGGUCGUGCAAGUCGGAUGUGAAAUCUCAGGGCUCAACCCUGAAACUGCAUUCGAUACUGCGUGGCUAGAGUGCUGGAGAGGAGACUGGAAUUUACGGUGUAGCAGUGAAAUGCGUAGAUAUCGUAAGGAAGACCAGUGGCGAAGGCGAGUCUCUGGACAGCAACUGACGCUGAGGCACGAAGGCCAGGGGAGCAAACGGG
Molecule: ribosomal RNA, 253 nt
Filed under: uncultured bacterium
Lineage: Bacteria
Description: partial 16S ribosomal RNA
Rfam family: Bacterial small subunit ribosomal RNA
Source: RNAcentral